Molecule: ribosomal RNA, 253 nt
Filed under: uncultured bacterium
Lineage: Bacteria
Description: partial 16S ribosomal RNA
Rfam family: Bacterial small subunit ribosomal RNA
Source: RNAcentral
UACGGGGGGGGCAAGCGUUGUUCGGAAUUACUGGGCGUAAAGGGCUCGUAGGUGGCCAACUAAGUCAGACGUGAAAUCCCCAGGCUCAACUUGGGAACUGCGUCUGAUACUGGAUGGCUUGAAUUCGGGAGAGGGAUGCAGAAUUCCAGGUGUAGCGGUGAAAUGCGUAGAUAUCUGGAGGAACACCGGUGGCGAAGGCGGCAUCCUGGACCAACACUGACACUGAGGAGCGAAAGCCAGGGGAGCAAACGGG